GGGGACCUUCGGGGCCCUAUACACACAGACAGCCGGGCCCAUACCCGGCGCAGACCAACGGAAGACAGAAA
RNAcentral lists this non-coding RNA (71 nucleotides) under unclassified sequences. RNAcentral's name for it is "L2-Alphaproteobacteria ribosomal protein leader". It matches the Rfam family "L2-Alphaproteobacteria ribosomal protein leader". The record is from RNAcentral.